UUAUUAUGUGAGCAGGAUUUCGAGUGCACAUUUUUCUGCCUCAGUGCUGCUCAUAAUCGCCUCUGAAUCAGGAGUCUGUACGAUUAUGAAAGAUGUUACAACUGUUCUGUCACCACCAUGUUUUUUCAUACUCUUGCAAACAGAGGUUUCAUACACAAGCCAUGUGAAUAUGCAGUAUAGCGAUAGCGAGUGAAGUGUACACAACUUCACAGAUUUCAGUGUUUGAACAUAUAAUGUGUUAGAAAAUACUUCCGGUUUCACUUUUGGGAGCAAAAUUGAUUUGUCACAAAUAUCUCAAGAUUGGAUUAAUCCUGCUGCACAUGUAUAUCCACGUAAUGAAGUUGCAUGUAAAGAGAAAACCAGCAUGUUAAACUUGUUCCAGCUGUCCUCAACUAGCAUGUCUGAGUAUACUUGAAGAGAAGUAUACUGUACUAGAAUUAUAUUAAUUGUCCAGUAAGGUGAAGAAAGAAAAAAGAAAAGUCAACACAUGGAAAAAUGUGUAAAACACAACACGAGAAGUGUUUAAAAUGUACAUGUGGUCCAUGUGGAGCAAAGAUAUGUGAAAUUCUAAUGUAUUCUAAUUAUGUAUGCUAAAUACAGUUACUAAAGUAUGCUAUAUUUAUGCAAGGGCAUUCCCCGAGUGCAAAUACACACUACAAAUAAACAUGCCCAAUUCUCACUCAAAGAAUUUCCAAAUAAAUAUGCCCAAUCCAUCCUGCAUGAAUUUCUCAUAAGCCACCACCCUCCACCCUGAUCUAUUGCUUAUACUUUCACUGCUGCAGCUAAGAGUCGAAGCUGUGUGUUAUUGUCAUUUCUCCAUGAGUUACAUGUUUUAUUUAGAUCAAUUAUUAAGCAGAUAAGUGACUUAGCUUGUAUGGAUGUUUUUGAGAUAUCAUAGCUUGGCAUCUCCGAGCAGUUGGUGGGCUUGUACGUUCGACGGAUGGCAUUUCACUUUAUAAACACGGGCAGGCACUCACAGCAAGAAAAGCAGCAGCUACACAGCAAACCCAGCCUUAGAAGGGCAUUAUGCCCCUCGCUGAGACACUGUCCUGACAAAGAGGAUUAAUCUAUACCAGCAUAACUUUGUACUUACAUCAACCCAAACAAUGCUGCAGACUUGCUCUUGUAGUUCAGUAUUUUUGAGAAGAAAUAAGAGCAAUCCUUCACGUACACUGGGCUGUUAAUAAUGAAGACGAAUCUGAAGAUCAUUACAUGGAUGAGAAGAAGGCUGAACCAAUGUGUUUUCUGGCAGAGGAUGAAGACCUGCUGCUACACUAAUUACAGUAAUGUGCUUUUGUGCUCGUGCCAAAGGCAGCUGUAAGAUGGAGCUGAAGAAGGAGUUCACUGCAGGUAAACUAGAAGUGUGACAGUGAUUUUUUUUUCUACCUGCAAUCUGCUGUUCCUCACACAAAACAACAUGACAGCAAUGGCUUUUUACUCUUGCUUCUCUGUUCUCACCUGAAACACUGGCAUGUUAACAAGUGAAACAACUUUCCCUGAUUAAGACAUUCCAGUGAAGCAUAGAGAACAAUUUCUAAAAACUCACUUUUCAUGGCUUCUCAUGACUUGUUAUCUCAUCAGCUAGUCACUCCAAGCAUGCAUUAAAGGAGGCUUUCUUCUGUCAAAAAACAGACGUGUAACACAAUGAG
Molecule: long non-coding RNA, 1649 nt
Organism: Ictalurus punctatus (channel catfish)
Lineage: Eukaryota; Metazoa; Chordata; Actinopteri; Siluriformes; Ictaluridae
Source: Ensembl